AGAGUUUGAUCAUGGCUCAGGAUGAACGCUAGCGGCAGGCUUAACACAUGCAAGUCGAGGGGUAUAGUUCUUCGGAACUAGAGACCGGCGCACGGGUGCGUAACGCGUAUGCAAUCUACCUUUUACAGAGGGAUAGCCCAGAGAAAUUUGGAUUAAUACCUCAUAGUAUGCAGAGUUGGCAUCAACACUGUAUUAAAGUCACAACGGUAAAAGAUGAGCAUGCGUCCCAUUAGCUAGUUGGUAAGGUAACGGCUUACCAAGGCGACGAUGGGUAGGGGUCCUGAGAGGGAGAUCCCCCACACUGGUACUGAGACACGGACCAGACUCCUACGGGAGGCAGCAGUGAGGAAUAUUGGUCAAUGGACGCAAGUCUGAACCAGCCAUGCCGCGUGCAGGAUGACGGUCCUAUGGAUUGUAAACUGCUUUUGUACGAGAAGAAACCCUCCAACGUGUUGGAGCUUGACGGUAUCGUAAGAAUAAGGAUCGGCUAACUCCGUGCCAGCAGCCGCGGUGAUACGGAGGAUCCAAGCGUUAUCCGGAAUCAUUGGGUUUAAAUGGUCCGUAGGCGGUUUAGUAAGUCAGUGGUGAAAGCCCAUCGCUCAACGGUGGAACGGCCAUUGAUACUGCUAGACUUGAAUUAUUAGGAAGUAACUAGAAUAUGUAGUGUAGCGGUGAAAUGCUUAGAGAUUACAUGGAAUACCAAUUGCGAAGGCAGGUUACUACUAAUGGAUUGACGCUGAUGGACGAAAGCGUGGGUAGCGAACAGGAUUAGAUACCCUGGUAGUCCACGCCGUAAACGAUGGAUACUAGCUGUUGGGAGCGAUCUCAGUGGCUAAGCGAAGUGAUAAGUAUCCC
RNAcentral lists this ribosomal RNA (855 nucleotides) under uncultured bacterium. RNAcentral's name for it is "bacterial SSU rRNA". It matches the Rfam family "Bacterial small subunit ribosomal RNA", at positions 8 to 870 of the family's 1533-position model. The record is from RNAcentral.